GACGAGUGGCGGACGGGUGAGUAAUGCUUAGGAAUCUGCCCAGUAGCGGGGGAUAGCUCGGAGAAAUCCGAAUUAAUACCGCAUACGCCCUACGGGGGAAAGCAGGGGAUCUUCGGACCUUGCGCUAUUGGAUGUGCCUAUGUCGGAUUAGCUAGUUGGUGGGGUAAAGGCCUACCAAGGCGACGAUCUUUAGCUGGUCUGAGAGGAUGAUCAGUCACACUGGAACUGAGACACGGUCCAGACACCUACGGGUGGCAGCAGUCGAGAAUCAUUCACAAUGGGGGAAACCCUGAUGGUGCGACGCCGCGUGGGGGAUGAAUGGCUUCGGUCAGUAAACCCCUGUCAUUAGUGAACAAACCUUUUAGAGUAAUAUUUUAAAAGCUGAUAGUAGCUAAAGAGGAAGGGACGGCUAACUCUGUGCCAGCAGCCGCGGUAAUACAGAGGUCCCAAGCGUUGUUCGGAUUCACUGGGCGUAAAGAGUGCGUAGGUGGCUAGGUAAGUUUGAUGUGAAAGCUCCGAGCUCAACUCGGAAAUUGCAUUGAAAACUGCUUGGCUAGAGGGUCGGAAGGGAGACUGGAAUUUUCGGUGUAGCAGUGAAAUGCGUAGAUAUCGAGAGGAACACCAGUGGCGAAGGCGAGUCUCUGGACGAAUCCUGACACUGAGGCACGAAAGCUAGGGUAGCAAACAGGAUUAGAUACCCUGGUAGUCC
RNAcentral lists this ribosomal RNA (709 nucleotides) under Schmidingerella taraikaensis. RNAcentral describes it as "partial Bacterial small subunit ribosomal RNA". It matches the Rfam family "Bacterial small subunit ribosomal RNA", at positions 90 to 796 of the family's 1533-position model. Lineage: Eukaryota; Ciliophora; Spirotrichea; Tintinnida; Rhabdonellidae. The record is from RNAcentral.